Long non-coding RNA from Solanum pennellii, 476 nucleotides. RefSeq lists it as uncharacterized. The record is from RefSeq and is a predicted model, not a curated record. NCBI's taxonomy places the organism in Eukaryota, Viridiplantae, Streptophyta, Magnoliopsida, Solanales, Solanaceae. The transcript is spliced from 4 exons.
CCCUUUCACUUUCCUAUUGCAAGGUGUCUUUCAAUGGUGAUCUGAAUGUAUGCAUGUGUUCCUCUAUGUCAUCCUUCUAUUUUCCCUCUACUGAUAUCACUAUUUUCACAUCAAAGUUCACACCAUUUACCAGAGACCCUUUUAAGCCCAAAGGCCUUUCCUGAUUUUUCGAUAAAGUGUGAAGAUAGGAAUUUGCAAUUACUACUACUGCAGUCUCAGCGCUACAGUUACCAGCCAUGACAGAAAGAUUGAAUAUCAACGAAAUCGACGAGAACACAGAAGAAUGGAUUUGUAAAGUUCAAGUGGUAGAUAAAGGUCAUCCCCGAACCACAAGGGAGGGAAACAAGAAAUAUCAAUUGAUGAUAUUACAGGAUGAAGAGGUAUUUGUCACUAAACUAAAAAAUACUCAUCUACUUUCAUAAAUUAGUUUGUAGCAAAAUAAAUAUACUGCAUACCAUUUUUACUUUGCUUUUUAA